UUUAGAGCCUAGUACCAAUAGUGUGGAUGCCUCAAGUGGUGUCACAAAUCACCCAAAACAACUUGGAAAUACUUGAGAGAAUAUGAUGCUCACUAGAAUCGGCCCACUCUUUGUUUCUCACACACACUAGUGCCAAUUCUAGAACCAAGGGCCUCUUUAUAUAGUAUGGAGGAUUAGAGUUAAACCUUAAUACCCAUUACUCUUCAUUUACCUAGGAUCUAUGGGUUAAAAGCUCCAUGGACUUCCAUAUACUCUUAGCCCAUCCUAAAUAAAUCUUAGCCCAAUCCAUAUAUAUGUAAGAGUCCAUAUUUAAUUAGCCUCUUUUGAUCACUAAAUUAAUUCCAAAAUCAAUUUUCAUCAACACUAAUUAAAUAAUAUGAUUUCAUAUUAAUAUAUUAUAACUUAUAAUAUAUUAAUAGAUCAUAAACAUCUUAUUCUAAAAAAUAUAUCCAUACAAAUUGUUAGGUGAAGUGCAACCCAAAUGGACCAUGCCAGGUCGGGUCAAGUUCAUACCAAAUAUAGUUAUGGACUUAGACACCUUAUCCAAGAGUCUCCCACUUGGAUAAGUCUGAUAACUAUAGUUGCAAGUAUAACUUCAGGAACCAACCAACAAUCGUAGCUCUUUAAAACUCUGUUGAACUAUGAAGCGCCAUUUUAGAUAAGUGAUCAUAUAAUCCUCUGUUCUCAAGAUAUCAGCCGGACAAAUACAUGGAACAAUGUCGUACUUAUUGUCCAACAGUUGUUUCUCGAUCUCUGAUUUGUUUGACAUAGAACUAAAUUGAACACAUCAAUUAGGUUCUCACUAGGCCCGACACAUAAUUCAAAACCAAAUCAUCGAGGGGCCCAGAUAUCGCUUCUAUUGCUAGAAGGAACAGAUAAACUUCGACCCAUAUGCUUGUACUAACUACUUGUUGAAUUAUGCACAAAAGCUCGUUUUAUGACAUCAAGUUACUGAUGCGUUUUUGUACAAUCAAUGGAUAACCAAAUCAUAGUUAACAACUCAUAUCUCUAGGUUUGAAGAUAUAUAUAUAUAUAUAUAUGUNACCGUCUCACGAUCACUCGAGAUAAAUCCCAUGAAGUGAUACAAGUGAGCAUGGGUUUAAUCCAAUACUCAGACCUUAUGAGCACUCAUGAAUGUUGUAGCAACCAUUGCCAUGUCUAAUGCACCUUAGACAAAUCUUACAAGUCAAAUUCAUGACAGUCUUAAUUCAAUACCUACUUCCAACGUAUGACCGACUGCGGAGAAUUUUGAAUAAAAUAAUUAUUCUGGAAGUCAAAACAUGUAAAAUUGAAACAAUAGUAAACGAUUAACAUAAGAUAGUAAACCUUACUUAUAAAUAAACAACAACUUUUAUUCAAUCAUCAAAUGUCAAUUACAUUUUACAAGUUUCAGAAAUAACUAUCUAAUUAUUAAAACUAAUAUCGUCUCUCAGGCCGAUGCUCCUCGCAUGCUGCAAAUGCCUAACCCUAGUCAGUCCCUUCGUGAGGGGAUCUGCAGGGUUCUCUUUUGAAGAUACCCUCUUUGCCACGAGGAGUCCUUCUUCUAUAUUGUGUCUUAUGAAGUGAUAUUUUUUGUCAAUGUGUCUGGAUCUAUCAUGAUCUCUUGGUUCCUUGGCUAAGGCAACCACACUAUUGCUGUCAUAGAAAAUCUCCAUAGGCUCCUGUAUAGCUAGUACAACUCCAAGGUCUCCAAUGAAGUUGUUUAGCCAUAUCGCCUCCUUUGCCACUUCACUUGCUGCUAUGUACUCUGAUUCACAAGUAGAAUUAGCUACUACCUCCUGCUUGGAACUUUUCCAAGUAAUUGCUCCUCCAUUUAGGGUAAAGACCCAGCCUGACUGAGAGCGGAAAUUAUCCCUAUCAGUCUGAAAACUAGCAUCGUUAUACCCUGCUACUCUCAAGUCAUCACUCCCACCGAGGGUAAGAACCCAGUCCUUAGUCCUCCGUAGGUACUUGAGAAGAUUCUUUACCGUAGUCCAGUGAGCCUUGCCAGGGUUUCCCUGAUAUCUGAUGACCAUGCUCAAAGCAAAGGCCACAUCGGGGCGAGUACAAGUCAUAGCAUACAUGAUCGAGCCAACAACGAAAGCAUAUUGUAAUCGACUCUUCUCAGCUAUCUCAGCCUCUAUACUCGGACUCUGACUCUUACUCAGUCUAACAUUGUGCUGGAUUGGUAAGUCCCUUUUCUUGGAAUUCUCCAUGUUGAACCUCUACAACACUUUAUCCAAGUAGGUACUUUGACUAAGUAUAAUUAGCCUUUUACUCCUGUCUCUUAGUAUCCUUAUCCCUAGAAUAUAGGCAGCUUCUCCAAGGUCCUUCAUAGCGAAACACUUCCCAAGCCAAGACUUAACCUCCCGCAAUGUUGGGAUGUCAUUUCCUAUGAGUAGUAUGUCAUCCACAUACAGUAUCAAAAAACUAACUAUACUCCCACUAGUCCUAACAUAUACACAUGAUUCAUCCUUGCUCCUCGAAAAUCCAAACUCUUUGACUUUCUCAUCAAAUCAAAGAUUACAUCUGUCAGAUGCUUGCUUAAGCCCAUAAAUGGACUUCUCAAGCUUGCACACUCUAUCGGGAUGCUUCGUAAUGACAAAACCCUCUGGCUGAGCCAUGUAAGCAUCCUCAGCCAACUUCCCAUUAAGGAAAGUGGUAUUGAGAUCCAUUUUCCAUAUCUCAUAGUCAUGAAAUGUAGCAANCUAAUAGACUUAAUCUUCGCUACUGGUGAGAAGGUCUCAUCAUAGUCAACUCCCGGAGUUUGAGUAAAGCCCUUCGCCACCAGUCGCGCUUUGUAAGUGUGUACCUUCCCAUCCAUGUCGGUCUUCUUCGUGAAGAUCCAUUUGCAUCCAACUGUCUUACGACCUGGUACAUUGUCAACCAAGUUCCAAACUUGAUUGUCAUACAUGGACUGAAUCUCGCUAUCUAUAGCCUCCUUCCAUUUAGCAGACUCGUGGCCUACCAUGGCUUCCCUGUAAUUAUUAGGUUCAUCCAAAUCUAUCAGUGUACUGUCACUAAUAAAUGUAUCACCUUCAGUAGUGAUGUGUUAACCAUAAUAAAAAUCAGGUGUGUUCCUAACUAUAGUGGAACGCCUUGGAGGUACGGACUCAUCUAUCGGCUCAACAGGAGUUUCCUCCUCAGGUUGGUCGCUAGUGUUUGAGGUUCCUUCACCACUUGACUCUUGGAGUUCUUCAAGGUUAAUUUGCCUCCUUGGAUUAUAAUUCUCUCUCACGAAAGACUCCUCUCCUUGCCACAAAGACCACAUUUUCACUGGGUCUGUAGAAGAGGUAACCAAAGGAUUUCUAUGGGUAGCUGAUGAAAAUACACCUCUCACUCCGAGGUACGAGCUUGUCGUGAGACUCACGCCACACGAAAGCCUCGCAACCCUAAAUAUUGAUGUGGUCUAAAUUAGGAACUUUCACAGUCCACAUCUCGUGAGGUGUUUUGGAAACCUUUUUGGUAGGGACUAGAUUAAGGAUAUGGGCAGCAUCUUUAAGGCAUACCCCCAGAAUGAGAUUGGUAACAAAGCUCGACCCAUCAUGGAACGAACCAUGUCCAACAAGGUUUGAUUGCGCCUCUUAGCCACACCAUUCAGCUGUGGUGUCCUAGGAGUUGUCAAUUGUGAGACAAUCCCACAUUCCUUAAGAUAAUCAAGGAACUCAAUACUAAGAUACUAUCCUCCCCGAUCGGAUUGGAGCAUCUUGAUGUUCUUGCCUAGUUGAUUCUCCACUUCCUGCUUAACCUCUUUGAACUUUUCAAAGGUUUUUGACUUAUGCUUGAUUAAGUAGAUAUAUCCAUAUCUACUGUUAUCAUUAGUAAAAGUCACAUAGUAUCGAUUAGCAUCUCUUUGUGGCAAUUUUGAAGGGUCCACACACAUCUGUGUGUAUGAGGUCCAACAAACUUUCACCCCUCUUACAAGUACCAGUGAAGGGUGACUUUGUCAUUUUUCCAAGUAAACAAGACUUGCAACUAUCAUCUGAUUUUAGGUCAAAUGAUUCCAAAACUCCAGCCUUUUGGAGUCGGCUUAUGCGCUUCUUGUUGACAUNGGAGUUGGCUUAUGCGCUUCUUGUUGACAUGUCCAAGACGACAAUGCCACAAGGAUGCUUUAUCCAAGGUAAUCGAAGAAUCAGUAUGAAAUACAUUAUUUCCUAAGCUGUCUACAAUCGACACAGUUUCAUAUACACCAUCAUAAGGUAAUGCUUUUAAACAAAACACAUCAUUAUAAAAAGCAUCAAUAGCACCAAUAAUUUUAUUAUCAAAUGAAAAUGUGAAUCCUUGCUUGUACAAACUAUGAAGGGAAAUAAUAUUUCUUGCCAUUUCUAACGAGUAACAAAAUUUAUUCAAAUCUAAAGUUAACACAUUAUUAAGCAAUAAAGAAUAAAAUCCAAUCUUGGUCACAGGUGAUGCUUUCCUAUUGCCCAUGAUAAUGUUUAUCUUCCCAUGCUCCACUUCUUCACUACUUCUUAGGCUCUGCAAAUCAGUACAAAUGUGAAUACUACAACCUGUAUCAAACACCCAAGAGUUAGUAUGUAAUAAUUUAUUAGACAAUAUGGUAUAAAUACCUGCAUGGUUGGUUUUAACUUUCCCAUCCUUUACAUCCUGCAAGUAUUUAGGGCAGCUUUGCUUCCAGUGCCCCUUUUCGUGGUAGUAGAAGCAUUGUGCUUCCUUUGGGUUUGAAGAAAGAGAAAUGGGAACUUUCUUGGUCCCACUUGAAGAGGAGCCAUCAAUAGACUUUCCCUUGGUACCCUUCGAAGGGUUCUUCCUCUUCUUCCCCUUUCCCUGACCAAUUACCAGAACAGGGGCUGUUGUAGGAGUAGGAGUAGAAGUAACAACCGAUUUACCUUUAAGGCCACUUUCAGCGGUCCUUAAAAGUCCUUGAAGUUUGCUAAGUGUGACUUCCUCCUUGUUCAUAUGAUAAGUCAUACGAAACUGAUUAUAACUUGGAGGUAAGGAAUGGAGAAUGAUAUCAAUCGCCAUGUCCUUAGGAAAGUCCACAUUAAGCUUUAGCAACCGGUCCACGAACCUUUGCAUUUUCUGCAAGUGACCGGUGAUUGGUUCACCAUCCUUCAUCUUGGCUGUUAUCAUGGAGGAGAUAAUUCAUACCCCUUUUGACGUGCACUCUGAUGGUGCCUUUCCAUCAGAUCCAGGUGCAUCUAAUAGGGGUAGAAAUCUUCAUAGGAUUUCUGGAGUCAUAGUAGCCAACAUAAUGCAGGAUACUUUAGUAGCAUCCCUCUCAUGUGCAGCAAACUCCGCAAUCUCCUCCGAAGUAGCAGUGGACUCAUUGAUAACCUUAAGCUACUUGUCAAGGAAAUAUUCCAUGUCCUCAUAGUGGGUAAUCAUUCUGAUGUUCCUAAUCCAUUCAUUGAAAUUAGAACCAUUAAAAGUGAUUUUCCCAUAGAAGUUCAUGUGGGAAAAGGAGCCUGUAAGGUUUGAGCCAGCAACAGUGUUGGAAGACAUCUGAAAGAAAAGAAGGACAAGUUUUAAUUAGAUAAAGAGUCCUUAAUAAGUCACCCAAAUGAAAUAUUAAGGCUAGGACCCUACAAACUAUUUCACAACUUGGAAGAGGGAUGCCGUAAUCCAAGCUAUAAAAUAUUUGAAGGUAGGUAAACGACGAUUUACCAAUUUCCACCAUGAAAAACAAAAUAAAUUGUUAAGUUUUAAUUGGAUUUGAAACUCCUAGAUCUUUUGAGAUUCAUUGAAAUUUCAAUGACGUGUUUAAAUCUCGAUUGUGCCCUCUCAAGUUUGUGACUGGGAUUCCGAGGAUCACAAACAAGGUGUGAAUAACCAUGCAAAUUGACUUGGUACCAUUUAUUUUAUCACCUAAUCGAUGUGCCAGUUAACCACACGCGCUCCACCGAUCUAUGAUAUAACUUAAGUCAUCCUUUGCCACUCUUAAUAGUCCUUGUUAGUGUGCCGGUUAACCACACACGCUCCACUAACGACUUGGUAAGGUGCAAAAUGUAAUUUCAUGGGUUAGCACCUAUUUCACAUUUUUCUAAAGUAACUAAGGUUGGGAAUUUAUAAAGGUUUAGUUACUUUAUAAUUUCAUUAUACUUUUAAUGAGGAUUAAGGUCCUAUCCUACCCAUUUUGCUAACGACCCUCCACUAGUCAAGGCAGCGGUGGGUGAGAGUGGACACCCAUUAAAUCGCCAUUUUAUAGGCAGUAACCUUAUACCCCCUUAUAGACCGACUUUGUGAAUGAGGCCUACUAACGGUAAUACUGACUUAUUCUUAUACAUAUAUAUAAUAAUUAAAAUUUUAAUAUUAUAGAAGUAUAAGGGUUGGAUUUUAAACUUUUAAAAUUCUAAGGUUCAAUUUGGAAUUAAAGUAUUAAUGUGUGAGANUGCUAACGACCCUCCACUAGUCAAGGCAGCGGUGGGUGAGAGUGGACACCCAUUAAAUCGCCAUUUUAUAGGCAGUAACCUUAUACCCCCUUAUAGACCGACUUUGUGAAUGAGGCCUACUAACGGUAAUACUGACUUAUUCUUAUACAUAUAUAUAAUAAUUAAAAUUUUAAUAUUAUAGAAGUAUAAGGGACGGAUUUUAAACUUUUAAAAUUCUAAGGUUCAAUUUGGAAUUAAAGUAUUAAUGUGUGAGACUUUACAAAUUCCAAACUUGAGGGCAAGUUUUAAAACUAUUCAAGACUUUUCAGCUUCAUAACUUAUGACUUAAUGGUUUAUUAAAAUGAGUGACUUUUCAUUUUAUGUAACCUAUGUGUUUUAAUACGGACUUUAAAAGAGUGACUUUUGGUAAUCCAUAAGUUGAGGACAAAUUAUGGAUUCCAUUAAAACUCAUAAUUGAUCAAGAAUUAAUCAUUAAACAAUUCAGCAAAUAAUUCAUAUGAUCUAACAAUAACUCAUAAGAACAUGAACAUUCAUAUCAAAAUUUCAAGAAUUAUAUUAACACAUAUAAAACAUGGAAUUUUGAUAUUCGCCAUUGUAAAUGGAUUAGCAUAACCAUUACACCAUCUAAAACAAGUUUUAAAACACUAAAACAGUUUAGGGUAAUGUUUCUAGUCCAUUUCCAGCAGCAAAACUCGAAAAACUACAUUCAGGGGCUCCUACUUGUCGAGUACAAGAACCUACUCGACGAGUAGGAUGAAUUAUCACAUGGACUCGUCGAGUCCCCCCAUGGACUCAGCGAUUUCAUGCUGCAGAUAACAGAUUUUUAGCUUUUUCAACAAGUUUGCAUCAAGUAUCAAGAAAACAAGCCUAGGCUCUGAUACUGCUGUUAGGUUUUGAGCAUUCUAACACUCCUAUGGUGUACAUGCAACCUUAGAAACCUUGGAUCUAUGUUUUCUCUAAAAUACAUGCAAAAUUGAUUUCCAAAGUUUACAAACUAGCAUGUUAUGGGGUACUUGUAAUAUAAAAAUUUAAGUAGAAUAACAUACCUUUCUUUUGUGGUUGAUUUCUUGGAGUUUUAGAGCCUAGAACCAAUAGUGUGGAUGCCUCAAGUGGUGUCACAAAUCACCCAAAACAACUUGGAAAUACUUGAGAGAAUAUGGUGCUCACUAGAAUCGGCCCACUCUUUGUUUCUCACACACACUAGUGCCAAUUCUAGAACCAAGGGCCUUUUUAUAUAGUAUGGAGGAUUAGGGUUAAACCUUAAUACCCAUGACUCUUCAUUGACCUAUGAUCCAUGGGUUAAAAGCUCCAUGGACUAUCCGUGCACUUCCAUAUACUCUUAGCCCAUCCCAAAUAAAUCUUAGCCCAAUCCAUAUAUAUAAGAGUCCAUAUUUAAUUAGCC
Molecule: long non-coding RNA, 7731 nt
Filed under: Lactuca sativa (garden lettuce)
Lineage: Eukaryota; Viridiplantae; Streptophyta; Magnoliopsida; Asterales; Asteraceae
Description: long non-coding RNA (LSAT_LNC005291)
Source: RNAcentral